Molecule: ribosomal RNA, 253 nt
Filed under: uncultured bacterium
Lineage: Bacteria
Description: partial 16S ribosomal RNA
Rfam family: Bacterial small subunit ribosomal RNA
Source: RNAcentral
UACGUAGGGGGCUAGCGUUGUCCGGAUUUAUUGGGCGUAAAGAGCGUGUAGGCGGCCAGGUAGGUCUGCUGUGAAAACUCGAGGCUCAACCUCGAGACGUCGGCGGAAACCAUCUGGCUAGAGUCCGGAAGAGGAGAGUGGAAUUCCUGGUGUAGCGGUGAAAUGCGCAGAUAUCAGGAGGAACACCCGUGGCGAAGGCGGCUCUCUGGGACGGUACUGACACUGAGACGCGAAAGCGUGGGGAGCGAACAGG